AAGCUCAAAUUUGAAAUCUGGCAGUCUUUUUUUUUCUUAUUUGGCUGUCCGAGUUGUAAUCUAGAGAAGUGCUUACCUGCACUGGACCAUGUAUAAGUCUCCUGGAAUGGAGCGUCACAGAGGGUGAGAAUCCCGUCUUUGACAUGGACCACCAGUGUGUUGUGGUGUGCUCUCAAAGAGUCGAGUUGUUUGGGAAUGCAGCUCUAAAUGGGUGGUAAACUCCAUCUAAAGCUAAAUAUUGGCGAGAGACCGAUAGUGAACAAGUACCGUGAGGGAAAGAUGAAAAGGACUUUGGAAAGAGAGUUAAACAGUAUGUGAAAUUGUUGAAAGGGAAACGCUUGAAGUCAGUUAUGUCGGUUAGGGAUCAACCUAGCUCUUUUUGCUGGGUGAAUUUCCUAGUCUGACAGGCCAACAUCAGUCUUGACUGCUGGAGAAGAGCAGAGGGAAUGUGGCACCUUUGGGUGUGUUAUAGCCCUUUGUCAUAUGUGGCAGUUGGGACUGAGGGAUGCAGUGUGCCGUGAGGCUGGGUUUUUGAACCACGUUCACGCUUAGGAUG
Molecule: ribosomal RNA, 556 nt
Filed under: Amanita colombiana
Lineage: Eukaryota; Fungi; Basidiomycota; Agaricomycetes; Agaricales; Amanitaceae
Description: eukaryotic LSU rRNA
Rfam family: Eukaryotic large subunit ribosomal RNA
Source: RNAcentral